ACUCCUACGGGAGGCAGCAGUGGGGAAUUUUGGACAAUGGGCGAAAGCCUGAUCCAGCAAUGCCGCGUGAGUGAAGAAGGCCUUCGGGUUGUAAAGCUCUUUUGUCAGGGAAGAAACGGUGAGAGCUAAUAUCUUUUGCUAAUGACGGUACCUGAAGAAUAAGCACCGGCUAACUACGUGCCAGCAGCCGCGGUAAUACGUAGGGUGCAAGCGUUAAUCGGAAUUACUGGGCGUAAAGCGUGCGCAGGCGGUUUUGUAAGUCUGAUGUGAAAUCCCCGGGCUCAACCUGGGAAUUGCAUUGGAGACUGCAAGGCUAGAAUCUGGCAGAGGGGGGUAGAAUUCCACGUGUAGCAGUGAAAUGCGUAGAUAUGUGGAGGAACACCGAUGGCGAAGGCAGCCCCCUGGGUCAAGAUUGACGCUCAUGCACGAAAGCGUGGGGAGCAAACAGGAUUAGAUACCCCUGUAGUCCCA
Molecule: ribosomal RNA, 471 nt
Filed under: uncultured organism
Description: partial 16S ribosomal RNA
Rfam family: Bacterial small subunit ribosomal RNA
Source: RNAcentral